AAAGUGAGAGAGACUCUUAAACAUUUAUGGCAUCUGAACAGAUGAAGUGGCUCCAACGAUUAAAGGCGCUGUUGAGCCAGCUUGCGUUCAAAUCCCAGAACUCAUAUGGAUGGAAAGAGAGGAUAGAUUCUCCAUGCACGGCUCCAAACCUUAGUCGGCCCCGAGACCUUAGCACAACUGACUCCAUGAUGGAGUGCCAUUCAGGCUGUAAAACUCAGCUUGCCCAUAGCAGCACCACCUGCUAAAAUGAAAACAAAGACUUACUCCACCAAAGUCCAUGGCUCUGGUUCCCAUUGCCUCUGCUUUUGGAUGAGGAAACUGUCGUUUAAGGAGGACGUCCAAAACUGUGAUUAGUAAUAUGCUGAGGGGAAACUGAGGCAAUGUCGGGAAAGCUGCACCAAUCACACUGCGAAAGUCUGGAUCAAGCAAGACCAGAAGUCGAGGCAGAAAGGACGAGAUCAGCUGCUGGUUCAGCUGGACAGGUCUGGUUAAGGCUUGCUCACCGUCAGCCUCGAGAGAUGGCUCAACUGCCACGAUCUCUGACUGCCCCUGCAGAGGACCCAGGUUCAAUUCCCAGCACCCAUGUGGCAGGCCACAACAUUCUAUGACCCCAGUUUGAAGAGAGCCAACACUGUCUUCUGGUUUCCAAGGGCACCAGAAAUGCAUGGUACACAGACAAGCAGACAGACAGACACAUAAAAUGAAAAUAUAUAGAUCUUUAAAAAAGGAAGGAAAGAAAGAGGAGAAAGGUUAGAUCAGCCACUAAUUCAAGGAUUCAGGGUUCAACCAUGUUUUUUACAAAGAAAGAAAUUUAAAGGAAGGAAAGGGUGCUGCUGGUAAGACAGCCCAACAGGUAAAGGGCCUUGCCAUCCAGUUUGAGAAUGGAGUUCAAAUCCCCGUACCCCAAGUGGGAGGAGAGAACGACUCCAGCAGGUUGGUCCUUGACCUCCACGUGUGCACUGUGGCACCUGCAUACCCUGUCACCAUCCACUAAUGCAGGCUUAAUCCUAGAAUCAGCCAGUAGGUGGAGAUGCUCCCUGUCUAUCAUAGAAGUGUUCAGGAAAUAGAAUCGAAUUGAUUCCUUUGGGAUUUUGAAAACGACAACAACAGACUCAUGCUCUCGGUGUGUGAAUGUUUCCACUGUCUAGGACAUGGCACACAGUUGUGGCAGCCUUUCCUGUGUCCUUGUCGGCUGUGGCUGCCGUCCUUCCCCUCUCUUUCAUUUCAUAUUAUCUACUCGGUGUUUCUAGGAAAGGGUCACCAAGGUUGAGCUACAGCCAUUGCUCUGUCAUUUCCUGUUCUGCUCAGGUCCCUGGAAAUACCUCCACACCAAUAUCAGCUAAUGGUGGCAGCCCAGGGCGAUAGGCAACUCCACCUCUGGAAUCCGCCCCAGCUGCUCGCUCAAUGCCUGAGUGCAUUCAUUGGCCCCUGACUCUCGAGAGACACUUCUUAGGGGUGACAUCACACUGAGAGGACGCCGUGCUGUAAGUCUGCAGACCGGAGCAGACUAGAGCCUAGUGCUUUUCUUACCCCAUCCCAUGGAAAGGACAUACUGGAAUAUGUAAAACAGCACUCCACACCAUGUGGCUAAUAAAUGUCAUUUCUCUACAUUCUGACUGCUCACCUGACCUUAUAGGGAACUAGGGAGAAAAAUCACCAUUAAGUCUCAACCUGUGUGUACUUCAGACAUUGAGUGUCCCCAAAAGCCUUUGUCGAAGGCUUGGUUCCAAAGGAGCCACUGUUAGAGAUGGUGGAGCCUAGUGAAAGGUAUCUCGGGAUGGGGAGGAGCUCUACUGGAAAAGGGUUACAGGCUCCUGCUUCCUCUCCUCUCUUUGAUUCCCUGUUCAUGGUUUAGUACCAUUCCUCUACCACACUCUGGUCAUGACGUGUGGCCUUCUCAGGGCACAGCUUGUCAGGGGCCCAAAGCAAUGAGCUACUUAAUCACAGACCGGAAGCUACAGAACUAUGAGCCAAAAUAAACCUUUUUCUGAUCCAUUAACAGUCUCGGGUAUUUUGGAAGCUGGUUGAUACACCUGUUAACCAGAGCCACAGAGGGUCAGGUUUCUCUUCUCCAUUCCCAAAGAGGGUAAGGCCCAACAUGGUAGCGUCCUUCACACUCAACACCGUGUUGUAACACUCACUAAUUAAGAGUGGAGGGAGUUUCUCAGUGGGACAGUUUGUCAUUAAACACAUCCCAGAGAAGUAAGGGUUUCAUUCCAGAUGUUUGAUACUGUGCAGGAUGCUGGGGAUUUAAUUAUAAUGAAAAACAAGUAUGGUGUCAGCUUCCUGGAGCUCAAAAUCUUCCCUCCAUGUUUUAAAAUUCAAGCAUGUUGAAGUAUAAUUUAUGAAAAAUUCACUUAAAAUUUUAAAAUCACAUACACACAUAUUGUGAUGGUCUGUAUAUGCUUGGCCCAGGGAGUGGCACUAUUAGAAGAUGUGGCCUUGUUGGAGUAAGUGUGUCACUGUGGGUGUGGGCUGUAAGACCCUCACCCUAGCUGCCUGGAAGCCAGUCUUCUGUUAGCAGCCUUCAGAUGAAGAUGCAGAACUCUCAGCUCUAUGCCUGCCUGGAUGCUGCCAUGCUCCCCCCUUGAUGAUAAUGGACUGAACCUCUGAACCUGUAAGCCAGCCCCAAUUAAAUGUUGUCCUUGUAAGAGU
This is a long non-coding RNA of Rattus norvegicus (Norway rat), 2655 nucleotides long. RefSeq lists it as uncharacterized. NCBI's taxonomy places the organism in Eukaryota, Metazoa, Chordata, Mammalia, Rodentia, Muridae. The record is from RefSeq and is a predicted model, not a curated record.